UCGUGCACUCCACCUUCGACGCUCUCCUACUCGGUAGAUCUGCCCAGACCAUUGGUUGUCGUCGCCUCCAUUUUUGGACUCGAAAAAAUCAAGAAGCAGGGUGAAUUCAUGGGAAUCACUCUACUCCUCCUUUAUGAGAAGAAAUCGGUGAUAGAUGGGUUCAUUCCUGCUGGUCGCGCCCCAUAUUACCAUCCGUCUUUGCGAGCAGGUUCAGUCGUGAGAGUCUCAUGAUUUGAAGUUGCAAGAUGUACAAAUAUGUACAAGAUUACGGAACACCCUUUCGUGAUCCGGUUCAUCCCCCAAACCACCAUUGAUGAAGUAAUCGAGAAUGCUCUCAUCAUCAACCUAGAGAAGUUCAUGCUGCGGAAGUUUGACCCUUUUCAAGCUCUCGCUAACACUAAUUUAGAACUCCCUGUUGUUGUUGGGCAAUUUCAAUCUGUCCAAAGUUUGGACCUGAAGGACGCUACAGUGACGAGUCAAGUUAUUGUUCGUUUCGUGAUUGAACCGAGCAGUGUUUAGGGGUCUCUUCAACUCAGGUGAAAGGGCAGAGUCUGCCAUGGUGGUCACUACUGUGAAUCCCAAAAUAUUUGGAGGGAACCUAUACCUCAACUCAACACCAGCAACGAAAUUUUAUUUUGACCUAGUACUUCAAGCAAUCACAGAGUUCACAGCCAUGUAUCAACUCAUUAGAUGUUUCGGUUGAACUAAUAAUUAGUCUUGUGGUUACUUGACGUAUUAUGCCAUCUGGUUCCAGCUUAGAAGGCCCAGUUGGAGACGUUUUCCCAUGUAUUGAUACCAAAGACGAAGAGAUAAAAAAGAAGGAAGUUGUCUCAAUAGGAGAUCUUAACAAGUUCAUCUCCAAUUCUGAUGACCAGCCUUGGUGAAGACACAUGAAGUGAUUUUAUUUGCAAAGCUCGGGUUGUUGAGGUGUUGCAACAAAAUGGCUGGUCUUUCGUCUCUUGCUCUGGAUGCAGCAUGGAGCUUGAAAAAUCAGGGACUUCUCUCUAUUGCAACCGAUGUGUUAAUCCGAACAUUACCGAAGUUAUAAAAGAGAUGCUUAAACUCACUAAGCAAGAUGCAGCUGCUCUGACCCUAGAUGAGAUGAAUGUUGGUGGCGGUGUGGAACUCCCACAAUGCCUGAAAGAACUAGCUGGAAAAUAUUUUGUAUUUCAGAUACGUGUGAAACCAUUCAAUUUCACCCCCAACCACCGUACUUUCACUGUUUUUGCAAUCGUUAAUCACACCAACCCGAGAUUUUCAAUACCAAUGAAGCACCAUUUGUUCAAGAGGAAGGUGGCGAACCAUCCCCAUCUGUCACCUACAAGGUUGGGGGUAAAGCCAAUGAACCAUAUCUAUCCGGUGUUGAAGGCAAAGAGGGUGGCCGUAAACGCCCCCACAAUUGAAGUUACAAAGCUGUUAAGUGUUAACCCAAGUCUGCUUCUGUGUCUUUACAAUUUCAGGACUUACUUUGCAUUUCCUAUUUCAGACUCUUAUAUUUUUUUUCAAAUUUCCAGGUUUUUUUUGCCAUUUACGGCUAACUAACUCCAUGAGGAGAACAAUUUUAACGAUUUAAUAUAAAAUGGCCGGUUGACAGAA
RNA transcript from Brassica oleracea var. oleracea, 1596 nucleotides. RefSeq lists it as uncharacterized. Lineage: Eukaryota; Viridiplantae; Streptophyta; Magnoliopsida; Brassicales; Brassicaceae. The transcript has 9 exons. The record is from RefSeq and is a predicted model, not a curated record.